This 231-nucleotide ribosomal RNA is filed under the name uncultured bacterium. RNAcentral's name for it is "partial 16S ribosomal RNA". It matches the Rfam family "Bacterial small subunit ribosomal RNA", at positions 118 to 350 of the family's 1533-position model. The record is from RNAcentral.
UGACCAACCUGCCCCUAACUCUGGGAUAACCCCGGGAAACCGGGAGCUAAUACCGGAUACGAGACCGAGUGGCAUCACACGGUCUGGAAAGUUUUUCGGUUAGGGAUGGGGUCGCGGCCUAUCAGCUUGUUGGUGGGGUAAUGGCCUACCAAGGCGACGACGGGUAGCCGGCCUGAGAGGGCGACCGGCCACACUGGGACUGAGACACGGCCCAGACUCCUACGGGAGGCA